Molecule: ribosomal RNA, 709 nt
Filed under: Macrobrachium heterochirus
Lineage: Eukaryota; Metazoa; Arthropoda; Malacostraca; Decapoda; Palaemonidae
Description: eukaryotic LSU rRNA
Rfam family: Eukaryotic large subunit ribosomal RNA
Source: RNAcentral
CCAACCGGGAUUCCCUGAGUAAGGGCGACUGAAAGGGGAUGAGCCCAGCGCAUAACCUCGCGGUGUUUUUGUGGCCGACGAGGGGUGUUGCGUUUCGGUGGAUCCGUACCGCUCGAGUUGCUGACCGCCUAAGUGAUUGCUUGAAUGCAGCCCCUAGGAGGGUGGUAGGCCCGUGUGGCGGCGCCUGUAAGAAGGUUUGUGGCAACUUGGGCGGAGGGAUGUUUACCGUAGAGUCGGGUUGCUUAGUACUGCAGCCCUAAGUAGGUGGUAAACUCCAUCUAAGGCUAAAUACUACCACGAGUCCGAUAUUUGACAAGUACCGUGAGGGAAAGCUGAAAAGGACUCUGAAGAGAGAGUUCAAGAGGACGUGAAACCAUUAGAAGGUGAAACGGGUGGAACCGUGAAGGUAGAAAGAGGGGAUUCAGGUCGUGGGCUUAGACUAGGCUGCUUGGCUAGUAUUGAGAGAUUGGGACCCGGCUUAGUGUUUGAUUGCCGUGGCGGCCAUGCAGCGUAGGAUUUGCCGGCGGUCUUAGUUGUCCCUCGAGUAUACUGAGUGGCGACCCGCUGUUCGGACCCCGAGGUACCUCUGGACUGGUAGCCUGCAGCGUUGUUGUAGGUGAUGACCCUAUGGGGUAUUUUGAAGGUGCGAGCGGCGGUCACUGCNACGAGGCGUUGAGAGANAUGCCUCUCGCCAUGUUGUGGGNAUCGG